CGGACGGGGGAGUAACGCGUAGGGAACCUGCCCUUUCCAGAGGGAUAGCCUCGGGAAACCGGGGAGUUAAAACCUACCAUGACACCUCUUAAAGACAUCUUUGAGAGGUCAAAGAUUUAUCGGCAGAGGAUGGGCCUGCGUCUGAUUAGCUAGUUGGUGGGGUAACGGCCUACCAAGGCGACGAUCAGUAGCCGACCUGAGAGGGUGAUCGGCCACAUUGGAACUGAGACACGGUCCAA
Molecule: ribosomal RNA, 239 nt
Filed under: uncultured bacterium
Lineage: Bacteria
Description: partial 16S ribosomal RNA
Rfam family: Bacterial small subunit ribosomal RNA
Source: RNAcentral